AACGAACGCUGGCGGCAUGCCUAACACAUGCAAGUCGAACGAGACCUUCGGGUCUAGUUGCGCACGUGUGCGUAACGCGUGGGAACCUGCCCUUAGGUUCGGAAUACCUCCCCGUAAGGGGUGCUAAUACCGGAUAAUGUCUUCGGACCAAAGAUUUAUCGCCUUUGGAUGGGGCCGCGUUGGAUUAGCUAGUUGGUAGGGUAAAAGCCUACCAAGGCGACGAUCCAUAGCUGGUCUGAGAGGAGGAUCAGCCACGCUGGGCCUGAGACACGGCCCAGACUGCUACGGGAGGCAGCAGUGGGGAGUAUUGGACAAUGAGCGAAAGCGUAAUACAGCAAUGCCGCGUGAGUGAGGAAGGCCUUAGGGUUGUAAAGCUCGUUUACCCGGGAUGAUAAUGACAGUACCGGGAGAAUAAGCACCGGCUAACUCCGUG
RNAcentral lists this ribosomal RNA (433 nucleotides) under uncultured bacterium. Its description in RNAcentral is "partial 16S ribosomal RNA". It matches the Rfam family "Bacterial small subunit ribosomal RNA", at positions 29 to 507 of the family's 1533-position model. The record is from RNAcentral.